GUUAAGGCAAAGCUUGGAAAAUGAACAAUCUUUACUCCCUUUGUGUGAAUAAAAUUAGACUUUUGCUGCUGUUUGUCUUGCUGUGAAAGGAAAUAUGAAAUAAAUGCACAUUGUGAACUGAUUACAAACUAAGGGACAGGCUGUGUAUUUUUUUCUUUUUGCCAUUAAACUUAUUUAAAUGCUUCCCUUUCUCGAGUUAGCGAGGGCAGUCAUGACUCAAACAUGGUCGCAUGAGCGUUUAAUAACCAUAAUAUUAAUUACAGUCAUAAAUCGCCUGAAUAAUCAUACUAAGUGCUUUUACUGCUUUCAGUAAUUACAUCUAUUUCCUUCAGCAUCUUAACUGUUGGCUGAGUUUUUGUUGGGAAUCAGUAAACCUCGGUCUAAAUGAUGAAAUCUGCCCCGUAGCACAUCUCCAUGUGAAUUCCAAUUCCUGAGUCGGUGCGUUUUCUCUCCGUCCUUUGACUCUGAAGAAAUCCUUUUAUGUUGCAAUUCGUUCAAGAGCGGGGUCUUAUUUUGUAAACUCAAAGAGAAAUUCUUUGCAGAGAAAGAAAAUUGGACACAUCAAAGAACGAGGCUGCGACAUUUAAUCACCAAAUAACUCCUGAGUGCCUUGAAGAUCACAGAUACAUGAUUUAUUGCUGCAUAACAGUCUCUGAGGACAGAUCGGUCCUUUAAGAGCCUUUUAAAAUGUUUUUGUAUUGCUUCUCACUUAAUAAAACCUGCUGGAAAUGGCCAGUGUCGGCGCGCUGAAUGGAUUCAAACAGUUUUUAGGAGUUUCACAAGGUCAGCAGUAGGAGUUAGGACACUUAUACACACACUCACGCUGGAAUCUAUAAAUCCAAGCAUGUCGGCCUUGGUGCAGUAAAACCAGCAGUCUCUCUUUCUGUCUCUUUAUCAUUCCUUACAGAGUCGUCACACACCUCAACACAUUCGUCCUCCAUCCUCUCUUUCUUACCUUCGGCUUCAUUCAGCCUAUCCAGACCUUGGAGAGAAUCGUAAUUGUAUGCAGUCAGAAUGUCUGGGGAAAAAAAGAAAAAGUAUAAGGUGCACUUGAGUCCUUUUUUUUUUCAGAAAUUGUGCUGCAUGCUUCUUGCGAGAUAACCAAGUUGACUUUCUCAAACUUGUUCAAAUAUUUCAGCCGAUGCUUUGUCGGGUAUGAAAACUUUUCCUGCACAAUGACGGCCAUGCAUUUUUUGCUUCAUAAUACAAAGAGUUUGGAGAGUUUUUGACAAGCCUGGAGGUCAUUCAAGUUCUUCAGCUCAAAAAACUGGGGCUGUGUCUACAUGUCAGACUAUUUCUGGGUAUGCAGUCUAGUGUCCCUAAAAAGGAGGCCCAUUUCUUGAGGAUUCUGCACCUCAAAAUCACAGUGCUGCUGCAUAAAGCAAUAUUCUCUGACUUUAAUGGUUAAAUGUGGAGUUUUGCCAUGGCCAAAAUCCUCCAUUACCUAAACCACGACCUGGUUUUCACGCAAAUAUUGCAGAAAUUGGGAAUUAUAAAAUAGCAGCCAUCGGGGGUGAAAAAGCAAAUUCUGAAUAUAUUCAGGGGUUUUGCAAAAAUCCUCCCCUCUUUCCUGUGAAGUUGUAAGAAUGUCAAAGCAUGAAACAUAGAUAAAUCAAAAGUAUUCAAAGAGAUUGGCUUGCUAACUAAAUCGGCUUUUUGCAGUUGGUUGUCAUCCUGCAAUGAGGUGCGAAGGAAAUCAGGGAAGGCUGCAGGGUUGGUUGCAAAUGUAAGAAUGCAGUUGUGUUCAAAUAAGCAUCGAAAUAACCAACUUUAACGCCCCGCUGAAACCACACCCUUUGACCUACUCUCAAUCUUUUUAGAGUAUUUCACCCUUAAUGUGUCAAAAAUGGGCGUACCAAAUUUGGAGAUGAUGAGAUGAAACCUUCAUAUAAAAGUUCACUUUAUCCUGGACCCUUUAAAAAUAAAACCGACUGUUAAAAUCGACUAAUUUUUCUAGAGACCUCCAUACAAUCGGACUUUAUUUCAAAUCCAGUGGCUAUUUAAGUUAAAACAAUACCAAACCCCAAUAUUAGAUGUUAUUCCUUAGAUUUUAUUUCCAUAUUUUGUGUCUACAUUCAGACCAUUCAAAUAUAUAUGACUUGUUAAAACUGGGUGACUUAUUUUAAUGGUUGGCGUGGUUUUGAUUGGGCUUUACCGUCAUGAAAAUCCAGUUUCCCCUCAAGUCUCUCCCCAAGCUGUAAACCUGAACCUAUAAGAGAAGCGGGUCUUUCCCCUAGAGUCCUAUUUCCUUCCAUCCUCAUCAUAUAUCCUCCCUUCCCUCUUGUCCACACUUGUCUGUGUACAGUUUUAUUUUUACAAGGACAUAUACAGCCCGGGUGACAUACUGCCAGCAAUUUCUUGUUGACUUGUAUCUCCGUUGUUGGCCAAAGUGGUGGUGCUCCAGUAACUGUCAGGUAAUAUGGAUUUAAGGUGGUAUUUAUUCUGGAAAACUGUGAUUUUUGUGUGUUUGUAAUACUCGUCCUGCCAGCUGCUUCGUCAAAUACCUGCUGUCGGUAAAAUUGAAGAAGAUGUAGUGCUGCAGGAAAAGAAAAAGAGCGCGUAGGAGAGGUUGAAGGAAGAGUUUAUCUAUGUGUAGAACAUGAUAUUUUCUUCACUUUAAGACUCCGGAGCUGCACUGCUGUCAACAUGAUGGAUAAUGUUUUAGGGCGAGGUCUCCCGGGAGUGAUCUGUUGUCUGUACAAUCAACUGUGGAGAGCCGAGACGGGAGGAGAAAGAGAGAAUGAGAGAAACUGACAGAGGGCAGCAGACAGAACCACUCCUCAUUACAGCCAAAUCCUGCUGGGGGUUCACCAAACUGGGGCGAUUUGAAGUUGAAAGUUUAAAGAAUUUCACUGUCUCCGUCUCGGUAACAAGGAAAGACACGCACACACACACACGCGCAUCUCCAGUCGAUGCACACACUCACUUGGCGCCCUAGCUACGGCCUAUGGGAACUCAUUAUCUUCCCAGACGAGCGGUGCCACAAGUCGCCAGGUCGGUCUCUUGCCACCGUGUCACUUUGGGUUCCAGUGUAUGGGUUGUGGAGACAGUAGGGGUGGGAAGAGGACUGAAAGACAUGGUGACAGUUGACCCAAGGGGGUUUAAAAUGGUCUUUGGGGGCAUCGCUUGGUGUGUUGGUGGAAAGUUUUCUCGAGGGGAGGUUCUAAAAGUGUCAGUCCUGGUAAACAGAAGUACGGCUAGCUGAUUGGAAACAGACCCAAAUGAUUCGCCAGAACCACGACACGCUGUUAAAUCCUUCAACUUAAUCCCCAGUCAGCUUGAAGCCUCAUUUUGAUAUCCUCAAUAGAAGAAUAUUAAAGGCAUGGUUGACGAUCUGAUUCCUCGCUUGGUCACAUUUCCUCUUCGACUCUGCCCUUUUUUCUGUCGGCUUGCGUCUUCUUUCUACUUUUACCCGCUCAGAGCUCCGAGGAGGGCCGGGAGAGUGGGAGGGGACGAGUCGGAACUACGGGAGAGGGGUGUGUCAAACACAGCGAAGUGAUUGGAUGGAGACGCGGAGCGGGAGAUUGAACAUUAGGAGCUGUCUGGGAUGCAAUAUUUUAUUUGAAGGACAGUAGGGGAAAGUCCCGCCUCCUUCGCUUCUGAUUGGCUAGAAAAGCUGGAAACGUCGGCUCUGUACAUCGAACAGAACAUUACAGAACAUUAUCGCACUUCUGAAUCUCCUAACCCGAUAGAUGAUGACAUUUCACAGCCAUUUGGAAUAACCAAUCAGAGCAAAGCACUUCUAGCCAAUCAGAGGCGAAGGCGGGUGGGACCUUCCCCUACCAUCCUCCAAAAAAAAAAAAUCCUGUCCGGGAUGGAUGGCGCCCAUUGGUCAAUGUUUUUGCCAUAGGACCAUGAUCGCCAUGUAAACGAGGUUCGUAAUAAUUACCAAUCCCUCCAAUCGUCAACCAUGCCUUUAAGGGUUAAAUCAGUCCUUCUGAGAAUUUAACCUUUCACCUUUACCGUUCCCUUCGAUAGGACAUCCACCUCAAAUUCCUUGAGAGUCUGGCAGGUAAGUGACAGGUAAACCUGCUAUCUCAGGAGCAGCAGCAGUAAGCGUUAAUGCGCUGACCCUGGAUGGAGGUUAGCAGGUCAUCCACUCACCGCUGCACAGAUGAUCUACGCACCGACUCGCCGAAAUAGGUCGAUGGCAUAAACUAAAUCCAAUAGGAAUAUUGCUUUUCAUUGAUUUUUUAUCCACCUUGGGAUAAUACACAUAUUUCAGCGACCGUGUGUGUGUGUGUGUGUGUGUGUGUGUGUGUGUGUGUGUGUGUGUGUGGGCGCAAAUGCAUAAACACAUGAUGGAUAAAACCACAGAUGAUUGGUCGUUACAGUGUGUGUUGACUAAUGCCUUCAUCAUGGGCGCCAAUGGAAACGUAACUCUUCCCGGACAUAUAGGAGACAUAAUACAGUAUAAGACUAUAACUUAGAGCGAGUGUGUUAUUAUUAGUGUGCCGGGUGCUCGCUCGCCCGCCCGCCCGACCGCUGCAGAGAGAGACAGAGGAGAGUUAUUUGUUAAAUGCCACCACGACUGUACCGGGGUCCUAAUUGGAUUUCCUCUCUCGCUCAAAAUGUCCCCUCGACUUUUAUGGAUAUGACCUCUGAGUCGGUCACAUACACAAGCAGUCUUACACCGGGACACACACACAGAGACACGUAUUUGGCAAAUGUUUGACUUUCGCAUGCAGGAAAAAUACAUUCAAAGACUACAAACGGCGCAUUUUCAAGAGAUGAACUUCAUUUUAAUUUCAUAUUUAGGCUUAGUAUUUGUUUAAGGGUAUCAAUUAAAAUUAGAAAUAAACAAAAUGAAAGUUAAACUACGAUUGAAAAUACAUUAAAUCAAAUCUGACAGCCCCGCGUCUCAAAAAGAGCCAUUCAGGAACCCAUUAGAAUCAGUUCAUUAAAAAGAUUCGUUCAAAAUAUCUGUUCACCGAAUCACCGAAGAUUAAGCGCUUGACGGGAGGAGCCUGUGACUUUCUGAACGGUUCAGGAUUCAGUUCAAUUCAUGGCGUCUGGGACCGGUAGACAAGAGUGUUGUGACUGUGUUGUUUUGACAAACAGAUUUGUAAAAAUUGACUCAUUUAUAAAUCACGAGGUUUUAAGUGGACUGCCCAGUGGUUUGCUAGUUGUCUACUUGGUAAAUUGGGCUCAGUGAGUGAUUCGUUCAUUGAACGUUCAGAAGAAUCCAAACUGAACAUGCACAGUUCCCUCGCAAAUCGCUGCAAUGACAGGAUCAGUCACACAUUUCUCAAACUGCAGGUUUUAUACACGACUUGAUACAUGCUGUGUCCUACUAAAUUUGUUAGAACAACGGGGAACAGUGGUCAUAUAAGUGUAUCCCUCAAACAAAAAUGAUUCCAGAGAGUGGUGUUCACUGCAUGAUUCGUUCACCAAGUGAUUCAGGCCUCGGUGCGUGCAGACCCUCGCUCACCUGACAGCUCAACUGAAGUGAGAAACGAACGAAUCACGACAAAGUAAUUCCGUUCAGUAUGCUCACUUAAAAGAUUUGGUUCUUUUGAAUGAAUCGUUCGCGAACAACACAACACAAAAUGGGAUAAUACAUUCAUGAAUCUCCUGUUCUGGACCUUUCUUAAGCUUUAUCACAAAGUCCAAACAUUGUAACAAUAUAUGUAACAAAAGGAGUUCCACAAGGGUCUAUGUUGGGACCACUGGUAUUCAUUCUUUAUAUGUCUCUCGUCCAAACUUUCACUCUAUGCAGAUGACAGAGUGAUGUACUGCUCUAUAUAGACUUAGCACUUUCACGUCCUCUUCCCUUUCUGGUUCUGAGCGUUAAAACUAAACUUUUUAUACAAUUUCCAACAACUAUUGAUCAGUUUGAGUUUAUAUUUCAUACAGCUCCACUUUAGGGCCAAAACAACGACUCCAACUUCUUUUCUACUCUCCCGUCUGCUUCGUAAAAUGACUCCUGACAUAUACAAAGUGUACUCUGUGCUGGUGAUGUACUGUUAAAAUGUCCUCAAAUCCUCCUCACAAUAUGCGCCUACAAUCUGGCAGGGAAGCAUGUUGUUUGUUCCUUUUUGUUCUUAUGUUUUAUCGCUAUAUGGCACCCGAAACUGCGUGAAAUCUGUGCCACGCACCUUGAACCCGAACUAGGGCAGAGACGCGCGGAAUGAAAUCUGCCUCGCUCUCUCUUUUGCAUACACAAAUAGAGCACCCCUUAUGUACAAAUCCACGACGACAACAACAACAACAACAACAGAAAUAAGAGGAAAAAAAAUCUCAUCUGAUGGAUAUGUUCUGCUGACUUUCAGUGUUUAUUCAUGCUGUUUUACUUGCUCUGCCUCAUCAUUCUGGAAAACAAACCUGUCCGCCUGUUUACAGAUGGCAGAGCUCAGAAUAAUCCUCAUCUACACCCACACGCGCUCGCUCCAUGCAUACCUUUUUUCCCUCUCUUCAACAUUUUCUACUCCUACUUUAAUAACCGCUCGGGCCUCCAAACUCCCACACAUCUGAAUCUAUAUAUUUGCCAUAUGUCUUUUAUCAUUAAAAGCCUGACAACUCGUCUAAAUCCAGAUGCUGGGACUCUGAUUCGUGUCAGAAAGUACACAUGCGAUAGAUCGGUUCAUUUUUUGUAAUUAGAGCUAAUUAAUGCUAACGAGGCUAUCAACGAGGAAUCAUGUGUGUCGGCACUGUUUAAUUACCGUAUGAAUAAAUAGAGCGGGGCGUUAACAUGAAGUCAGCAUAUUGUUAACUGUUUGUGUUUGGCCAACAUAGAUCCAGGAAAUGUGUUCAUUUACAUACAUGAUAAGGGACUCGCCCCGCACGGCUAUUAGCAUGUUAAUGGCGGCGUUUACUACACCGCCAAAAAAGGGGACAAUCAAACCUCUCAGCGGGUGUAAAAAUAAGCCGCCUCUCUGCAGUGAAGCGGGUUUUAUUUAUGAUUUAAAGCAGCUUUGCAUUGGGAAAUUUAGCGACAAUUCAAGGAGGGGGUAUUAAAUGCGCCUAAAUUAAUAAAAUCUCUCCACGGGGUUUUAAUGGCGGCUAUUUUCACCUCGAAUCAUCACUCCUUCUGUCUUUCUCCUUUCUCAAUGUAAGCAAAAAGGCAGAAUGUCACAUUUGAUAUUCACAACAACCUCCUCGCCCAAUCCCCCAGAGUCACCCGGCGCCAGAUGACGAGCAGGCUGCCAGGGGUCACCCGGCGAACCGGUCGCUCUCUACACACCCGCCGGUUCUCUGCGGAAGUGACCUAAUAACUGUGCCAGGCCUUCGCUGCGCCCCUGCCAUCUCUGCCCUCCGCUCGGCGGCCACAGAUCGUGAUCUCGCCCUCGUCGCCUGCCUUCCAGGAUUUCACCCCCCUCCCCCUGCUCAACUCUCAACCCUUCAUCUUCAUCUUCUUCUUCUUCUUCUCCCGCCUCGAGGAAUCCUCAGAUCCGCUCACCAGUUUUACGAGUUGGGAUUUUAUGAGCUUCAUCUACUUAUUUUUCCCCCUCUUCUUCUUCUUUUUCUCCCCGCCUCCUAACAGACGUUUCUCAGCUCAUUUCCAUCGGAUGCCCUACAGGGAAUCGCCGAGCGUAAAGUUGUGUCUCUCCCCAGCCGCCGCUCAACUUCUGCGCCCAUAAAGCAAAAUAAAAACGCGCUUUAGUGAUUUGUCAACUUGUGUCCUCGAGGGAGACGUAAUGUGGAGAUGGGCUAUCCUUGAAAUCCACUGUUUGGAGACGCUGCAUGAGCCAUCUUUCAAAAGUGUUCCUGAACAACUGGUGCGUUUGUUUGAAUGGGUGUGUGCGCCGCAGUGACAAGUGAAAAGAUGGUUCUUCCGCAAUGCGCAGGAAGUUUAAAGUGUAACACAGCCUUUGUCUGUAAUGAUGUGAAAAUGUGCACUAAGGUUUAAAACUUCCAUAACUUAAAUGUCAUGGCCCUGCUGUCUGAAAGAUGGUCUUGGUCUUUUUUUGUCUCCUUUUAUGUAUCCAUGUAAAUUAACAUACAUAAACUAUCAGUAUUGAUAUUAGUAUUGGCAAAAUCAUCACAGAAAGUAUCAGUAUUGCUAUCUGUAUUGUUUACUGUAACUCUGCUACAGAAAAGUGGUAAAAGUAUUGUUUACUGUAUCAGUAUUGAUGUAAAAACUGAAAUCUGUAUCUGUAUCAGUUUUGGUUUUAGGCCAAUAUACUAAAUUAUUAGAACAUGCAUGUGCUCUAACUGUAUAAUUAUCAAUGAAAAAGCUACAAAACUGAUAAGAAAGCAAUAAAAAGUAUUGGUACUGGAAUCAGUUCUGGUUGAAUUGAGGUAUCGGUUUAGAAAUAUCAGUGUGUAUUGCUUUCUUGUGUAUGUAUAAGAGAUACGAAAAUGAUAAAAUAAAAAAAAAUUAAAAAAGUUUCAGUGCUGGAACAUGUAACUGUAUGAGUAUCAGUGUCUGUUGAAUUGCUGCAAAAAUAUUGGUGUCAGUACAAAUAUUAGAAAAUAUGCAACAAAAGUAUCAGCAUCUGUGAAAUUACUACAAAAACAGAGGAUGUUUUGGUAAUUUUAACUAUAUCAGUAUCUAUGAAAAGCAAGAAAAGUAUUGGUAUCCGUUUAAGUAUGGGUCUAGGUAAAAGUAGUGCAAUCUGUAUUCAUCUUUAUAACUCAGAGAAAGAGUAUCAGUGUCAGUAAACAGAUACAAAAAUUUUGGUAUCGGCCUCAGUAUCUGUACUCAUAUUGCUGCAAUAGUAUUGGUUUAGGUCAAUAUACUUAAUAAGUAUCAGAACAUGCAUGUACUCUAAUUGUAUAAGUAUCAAUGAAAAAGCUAUAAAACUAUUAAGAUAGCCAUAAAAAGUAUUGGUAUUGGUAUCUGUAUCAGUUCUGGUUGAACUGAAGUAUCGGUUUUGUAAUAUUAGUACUGUAUUGCUAUCUGAAUAAAAGAUACAAAAGUGACGAAAUUGGUAUUUGUAUUCAUACUGGUAAAAUAGUUCCACAAAAUGAAGUUUCAAUGCUGGUACAUGUAUCGGUAUGAGUAUCAGGGUCUGUUAAGUUGCUGCAAAAGUAUCGAUGUUCCUACAAAUAUUAGAAAAAAAUGCAAUAAAAGUAUCAGCAUAUGUGAAAUUACUACAAAAAAGAGGAUGUUUUGUUCAUUUUAACUAUAUCAGUAUCUAUUGAAUAGCCACAGAAAGUAUUGGUAUCCGUUUAUAAAGUAAAAUAAGUAUGGGUCUAGGUAAAAGUAGUACUAUCCGUAUAUUCAUCUUCAUAACUCAUAGAAAGAGCUUCAGUAUCAGUAAACAGAUACAAAAAUGAUGAAACUGGAUUUUGUAUCUGUAUUUGUAUUCUGAGUAUCAGUAUCAGUAAACAGAUACAAAAAUGUUGGUAUCGGCUUUAGUAUCUGUUCUCAUAUUGAUGCAAUAGUUACAAAUAAUAAGGUAUCAGUGUUUGUAUAAGUAUAGGCAUUAGUAUCAGUUUCAGUUAAAGUGCUGUAAAAGUACCGAUAUUGGUAAAUUUACUGUUAUAAAAGCACCAGCAUUGUUAUCUGUAUUGGUAUCUCUAUAAUUGGCUAAAAUAUACCAGUAACUGAAGAAUUGCAUCAGAAUCACUGGUACAGAUAUCUGCUAUUGGUUAAAUUGCCACAAACAGUAUCAACACCAGUGUUAGUAUCGGUAACUGUAUCAGUAUUGGUAUCUGUAUCAGUACCAGUACAAUUGUAUUCUGUACUUCCAAAAGCUGGUGUCACACAUGUCUCUUGUGUAAAUAGGAUUUGCAAACCUGAUAUCUACGGUGAGCUCAAUAUCUGUCAAGCCCGUUUUAUGCACUUUUUAUUAUUGCUGUACUGUUUUUUAAAAUGUAGUUUCUCCUCUCUCUGAAACAUCACUCUUUAUUUUAUUUGGACCUUUUGGUUCCCUGUGAUAGGUCACUUCAAGUUCUCACUUCUGUGCCAAAAAAUCAGAGUCCCACUUUGUCCCUCUCAUCUAAAAUCAAGCCGCCCUCACUGCUGCACUUCAUCUCCUUUGUCACUCAGACAUGACUCCCCCUCACUCCUCCAUUGUUCCUCUCCUCUUCCUCGACCCUCUCUUAACAUACACCCGGAUGAACGACAGCUCCUCGUGACCUCCCGUUAUCUCCCAUCCAUUCCUGCUUCCCGGCCCCGCCUUCGCAUUCACACCCUUCCCAUUACCGUCAGUCGCCCCGCCACGUGCUGACCCCCUCCUUUUACCGUCCCUUACCGCUCGGACGGGUGGCAACAAUAGAGACAGGAGAGCCAAAAUGGCAGCCGCCCGCCCCUGUCUGGGGCGUCCCCUGAGGGGCCGGUCGCGUAUCUCCGCAGCCAAUCUUAAUGCGCGUCUUCCGCAACAAAUUGGCCAGUUUACUUAAGAGUCUGCUGUGGCCCAUGAAUAUUUGAUGUGGUCAGGGCUGCGGAGAGGUGGGAUACAAUGACAGGGGCUUAUCUUAUUUAGCCAGACAGAGGGGGUCGGAUCCUGGCCCGACCCGGAGUACUCCAAAGCUCUUCUGGGAUCUGGAAGAGCCCGAUCCAGGAGAAGAGUCUGAAAACAUCUUUUUGUCCCA
This 10482-nucleotide long non-coding RNA is filed under the name Xyrichtys novacula (pearly razorfish). The record is from RNAcentral. Lineage: Eukaryota; Metazoa; Chordata; Actinopteri; Labriformes; Labridae.